Molecule: long non-coding RNA, 457 nt
Organism: Tachysurus vachellii
Lineage: Eukaryota; Metazoa; Chordata; Actinopteri; Siluriformes; Bagridae
Exons: 3
Source: RefSeq, a predicted model, not a curated record
UAAAAUCCAAAAAUAGACUAUUCAGAUGGAUGUCUUUCUACUGUGUAGGAAACCCUCGAAGAACUGAGAGAACAUGCGCACACAUGGUGGAAGCAGGAUUUAAAGCUCUAACUCAAUGCAAGGUUCUUAGCUGCAAAGUUAAGAAGAUAAGCAGCACGGAUCGUCCUGAUCGUCGCGUGAUACUCUACAGGCAAUUUCCCAGGAAAUAUAUUCACCCAAUUCCAUCCUUCCUCCAUACAUUUCUCCUUGCCCUUAACCUUUGUGAGGAAUUGGCAAAGAGAUCCCUUCAAAGCUCAUUCAGAUCCUGAACCAGAAUCCAAAAGGACGAAGCAGCACCUCCAGAGACCUAAAGAUCAUAGGUGCAAAAUGAGUUUUUUAAGCUUUCUCCAGUUGCUGUUUGCUCAUUAUGAUUUCAUGUUCUGUCCCCUGCUACUUGUGCGAGAUCCAAAAGGUUUAA